This 45-nucleotide non-coding RNA is filed under the name Schistosoma mattheei. Lineage: Eukaryota; Metazoa; Platyhelminthes; Trematoda; Strigeidida; Schistosomatidae. The record is from RNAcentral.
AUCCAGUUGACGAGUCCAAAACAGGACGAAACGCGCGUCCUGGAU